This 325-nucleotide ribosomal RNA is filed under the name uncultured eukaryote. Its description in RNAcentral is "partial 18S ribosomal RNA". It matches the Rfam family "Eukaryotic small subunit ribosomal RNA", at positions 1470 to 1796 of the family's 1831-position model. The record is from RNAcentral.
CCCUUAGAUGUUCUGGGCCGCACGCGCGCUACACUGACUGGUGCAACAAGUGUCGCUCCUUGGCCGAUAGGCCUGGGCAAUCUUUGAACGCCAGUCGUGAUGGGGAUAGAUUCUUGCAAUUUUUGAUCUUCAACGAGGAAUUCCUAGUAAACGCGAGUCAUCAACUCGCAUUGAUUACGUCCCUGCCCUUUGUACACACCGCCCGUCGCACCUCCCGAUUGAAUGGUCCGGUGAACCCUCCGGAUCGGCCCGCGCCAACGCAAGUUGAGCAAAGGCCGAGAAGUUGGGUAAACCUUACCAUUUAGAGGAAGGUGAAGUCGUAACA